RNAcentral lists this long non-coding RNA (4654 nucleotides) under Elaeis guineensis (African oil palm). RNAcentral describes it as "long non-coding RNA (EGUI_LNC006735)". The record is from RNAcentral. Lineage: Eukaryota; Viridiplantae; Streptophyta; Magnoliopsida; Arecales; Arecaceae.
UCCCGCUGGUCUCCGCCGUCGCCUUCCUCCCCAUCGUCUCGUCACCGGCGUCGGCGUUCCACUCCGAUCUCCCUCAGGUGCUUUCCUUCCCAUAGAUCUCUGAAAAAGAGAGAAAUGAAAAGAAGAAAAAAGGGAAAGAAAAAAAAGACUUACCCAACACAAAACCCCAGCCACCGUCUAAGCUUCCUAUUCGGCCACUCCAAGCCUCCCACCCGGUUGGGACUCAUGAAGAUGGAAAAACUGAAGGGAAAACUGGGGAAAACAUAGGAAAAAUGAACGAAAACAAAGGAAAGACGGAAAAAGAGAAAGAAAUGAAAAGAAAAAUAAGCCAAAAAAAAAAAUCAAUCUAUGUAGGACGAGGUAAGAGUUUUUCGUCUUUCCCUUCUUUUCAUUGAUUUUCUUAUGUUCCCUAUGCUUGAGAAUAAACCCUAAUCGGAACCUGAGAAACCCUUCCCAUCUCCCUUAGGUGGUCUCCUUCCCGCAGAUCUCCGAAAAGGAGAAAGAAAUGCAAAAAAAUGAAGAGAAGAAAAAAAAAAGAUCAAUCUAUGUGGAAAAGGUCUUACCUUUUAAUUUUUACCGUCUUUCCUUUAUUUUUGUUGAUUUUUCUUUCAUGUUUUCCCCUGGUUCUUCCCCGUUUUUCCUGGUCUCAGGAGUCUCAAUCGGGUGGGACCGCGGGAGGAUGGUUGUGAUGUUUGCCUCCUUGCCAGCAUGUUUAACUUCUUAUCAGCUCACAUCUAUUUUAUUAAUUUGAGGAAUAUGGUGCUUUGAUAUAUGUAGAUUUGAUGCCUGACCAAAUAGGUUGUGUUUGGAGUCCUUUAAUGGAGUUGAAGCUUUUUCUGAAUGCUUUUCAGCAUAUAAAAGAUGAGGAUAUGAAAAUCAGGUCUCAUUGUGUUGCUUGCAGCAAUAAACUAUUGAACCUGUAAUUGCUUACUUAGGAUAUUACUAAGGUGUAAGGUGGUUAGGCUGUUAGGCUAACCAAAAAUCAAGACAUCAAAUCUUCAGACCCUACGACUAUGUACAUAUAUUUGGUUUGGAUGAUUGAUAGGUAUCCGAGGAUAAAUCUCAAACUCACUCCAAAUUUGAAUGAAUUUUAAUUUUAAAUUUCAAAUCUAUCCUAAACUUUAUAAGAUACUGCUAACGAAUCCUAUUAAAGUUCGGGAUGGAUCAAGUAUCUGAAAAAAAUAUGCUCAACUACUGUUAUAACAUUAGAUGGGGGAUUAGUCCAUUGUAAUUUUGGACCUGUGUAUCGUAUUUUAACACGAUUUUUUUAAAAAUUUUUUAAAUGGAUUUUAAAAAAUUAUGUUCAAACAUAUAAAAUAUCUGGAUUUAUUAAUUAAGGAUGAAAAAUUAUAAAAUUUAAAAAAUAAAGUUGAUUGUAUUUAUUGGAUAAUACUAAUUCAUUAAAAAAAGAUUUUUUUUGAGUUUUUAAGAUUAAUUUUAAGAUUCUAUAUUAAAACAUUUAGAAAUAUUUAAAUUUAUUGUAUAUGGUUUGUAAAACAUCCAAAAAUCAUCAUAAAUAAAGUUGAUAGUUUCAAUUAUAUAAAAUAGAUAUAUACAUAUUAUUUGGUUUAAGAAAUUAAUAAUUAAAAAAAUAAUAAAAAAUUAUGGAUUAUAUUUGUGGAUUGAUUUUAAGAUUUAAUAUUUAAUAAUAAAUAAUUUGUUUAUGGGAUUGGGUUUGCUCGAGACAUGUUGGGCUAUAUUGGUUAAGUAUUAUCCUACAAAUUAGACUUGAAAAUCAAUGGCCAAGGUUAGAUUAAAAUAUGGAGUUUUUUUAUUUUUUUGAGUUGAGUUUGAGUAUAUUGUUGGUUCAACUAGGAGUUGGUUUAGGAUUAGAUUGAUAAUAUUUCAAGUGCGGAAUAAUAUUUCAUUAUGUCCAAUAACUUGCAUCCUCAAAAAAUUCUAUAUUAUUUGAUUAUUUUUAGGGGAUGAAAUUUAUAUGCAAGAUAAACUUAAAAUCAAUUGAUAUCUUCUAUGAUUGGUGGUAUAAAGCAUGUUAUAAUUGUAGAGCUAUAAUAAAUAUUUAUGCUGAUAAUUUUUGGUACAAUCAAUACAAUAACAAUAAUUAGCUUUACUACAUACCAUAUUUUCGAAAAACUUAUUUUGUCUUUGAGAAGAAGUGAUCUAAUCUAGCUUCACAAAUGAUUGUUUGGCUAAAUUGAUGGAAUAAAUAGGUUAAGAAACUUUCAUUACAACCUAACGCUGGAAUGCAACCUAAAGGUAUCUAUCACUUGCUAUAAGUAGAGGGAUGGAUGAAGGCAAGACAUAAUAUCUGUUAGCUAUAUUUUAUCUCUUAAGUCAUCUUUUUCCUAUUUGAGUAUUGCUAAACAAGUCCUAUUAGAGUUCGAGAUGGAUUGGAUAUUCGAAAAAAUCCAUCCGACUAUUAUUCCUAAGCUCACUGUAACAUUAGAUGUGGGAUUGGCUCAUUGCAUUUUCAGACCAAUGCGUUGUAUUUUAACAUGAUUUUUUUUUGUAUUUUUAUAUCAAUUUUAAGCAUUUAUGUCCAAACGUAUAAAAUGUCUAGAUUUAUUAUAUACAGGUGAAAAAAAUUAGAAGAUUAAAAAAGUUGAUUGUAUUAAUUAGAUGACACUAAUUCAUAAAAAAGUAUUUUUUUUAGUUUUUAAGAUUAAUUUUAGGAUUCCAUAUUUAAAUAUGUUAUAUAUGGUUCAAAAAAUAUCCAAAGAUCAAUAUAAAUAAAGUUGAUGGUUUUGGUUGUAUGAAAUUAUAAUAUAUAUACAUAUAUUUAAUUGGUUUACAAAAUUGAUAAUUAGAAAAAUAAAUUUAAAAUUAUGGAUUAUUGAUUGAUUUUAAGAUUUAAUAUAUAAUAUUUAAAUAUUUAAUAUUUAAUAUUAUGAUUUAUUUCUUCAAUAAUUUUGAUCCAUAUUUUGUUAUGGAACUCAAUUCAGUAAUAUUCUAAUAAAAUUUUUUGAUAUUUAUAUUUUCAGUUUAAAUGAAGAGGUUAUGGUAGCUGAAGAUUAGCAUGUACGUAAGUUCAUCAGUUAAUAAAAAUACUAGAUAUUAUAUUGUAUAAAACAGAGGCCUCUCAUGGAGAGGCCUCCAUUUGAUGUGUGGGGUCUUGGGAAAGGAGAGAGGCAGCUACGUGGCCUAAGGGAGAGUGAAAAAAAGCGCUCUGACUCGCCAACACACUGAGGAGAGAUCUGCGGCACGAAUCGCAAAGCAACAGGAAAAAAUUUUAAAAAAGGAUUUUUAAACCCACACAUGAGGUGGGGCGGAGGAAGAUUGGGAGUUUUCCUCUUCUCCAUUUUCGGCUAGGAAAAGAGAUCCUAGGGCAGCAAAAUCCUAGGAUCCUGUGUCUAUGAAACAUGUUUUUUCCCUCGUCGCCCUACCUCGAAACUCUGUCUGUCGCCGGCGACAGUUCUUCUAUUAUUUGGAUUUUCCAUUGAGCAUUCGUCGGUGAUUCACUGUUGAUUCCUUUUUCUAGGGAUUUAUCUUUUUCUCUCUUAUGUAUGCCUUUCUCUUUUUCUAUCUAAAUUAGUGAAAGAUCGUUCAGACUUUGAUUCCAAUUUUUUAAUUGAUGUAAUGAAUUUUCCUCUUGGGCUUGGAUCAUUUCUUUGGACAAAGUUCUCAUGUUCUACACACACACACACACACCAAAAAAAAAGAAGAUUUUUACCUAAUAUCAAAAUUUUUUGGUUUGAUUAUUUCUUUGCUGGUGUUGUUAUUUAGGAGCCUUUCUCUAUUUUUAAUUAAGGCUUUGUUUGGUUGCCGAGAAAAUGAAAGAAGCAGAUACAUCACCGGAAGAAAGUAAUAGAAAAGACAAGAAAGUUGAGUUUUUUUUCAGUUGAUUGAAGCCUUCGAUUUGUUCUUUAUAUGAUUUCCUUUUUAAUACCAUACAACAGAAAAGACGAUGCUUCCCAGCGUAUUUUCUUUUCUUUCACUUUGGCAGCAAACAAAUAGAGCCUCGCUGUCAGCAGUGGUUUAAGAAAACUAAAUGGGUAGACAAAAGAAAGAUAAAUUCGAGUUAUUCUUAGAUUAUAAUUAGCAAAUUGCUAUGGUUUACUCCUCUUAGUAUUUUUUCUGUUUAUGUGUAUCAAGUGGAUUAAAAACAUUUGGCCAAGAACAGCACACCUGGGAUUGCAUUUCAGGAGUAAAAUCUUCUCCAUCAAAAGUAGCCAAUUUUGACAUUCAACUGCUUUAGAAUAUUUGAAUUUAUUCAAACUGUUGUGUUCAAUAUCUAUUCCUAUGGCAAAUGACGAGUUCACUAUGUUUACCUUUUGGGCAUGAAGGAAAAUGACCACUCAAAUGCAGAGGAGAGGAGUUGUCCAACCUUGGGAAGUGGGUCAACCCCUUCCCCUGUUUUCCAUGGAAAAAGAGAUGAGAAAAAAACGAGGAGAAAAAGAAAAAGAAGAGAAAAGAACAAAAGAAAAAAGAAAAGAAAAUAAAGGGAAAAAAAAGAGGAGAUGGUUUUUCUCUCUCUUCCCUUUCUUCUCUUGAAAAAAAAGAAAAGAAAAUAAGUGGAAAAAAAAGGAGAGAGGGUUUUCCUCUCUCUUCUCUCUCUCCUCUCAGUACCUUCUCUCUCCAUUUCCUCUCUUGAAUUUAAAGAAAAGGAAACAAAGAAAGAAAAUAAAAGGAAUUGUUAUUUUUUUUCUCAUCUUCUUUUUUAGGAUAUUUUCUAAACUUAAUUUAUAGUGUUGUC